This 253-nucleotide ribosomal RNA is filed under the name uncultured bacterium. RNAcentral describes it as "partial 16S ribosomal RNA". It matches the Rfam family "Bacterial small subunit ribosomal RNA", at positions 524 to 776 of the family's 1533-position model. The record is from RNAcentral.
UACGAAGGGGGCUAGCGUUGCUCGGAAUCACUGGGCGUAAAGGGUGCGUAGGCGGGUCUUUAAGUCAGUGGUGAAAGCCUGGAGCUCAACUCCAGAACUGCCAUUGAAACUGUUAGACUUGAGUACGAGAGAGGUGAGUGGAAUUCCCAGUGUAGAGGUGAAAUUCGUAGAUAUUGGGAAGAACACCAGUGGCGAAGGCGGCGAUCUGGGAAGUUACUGACGCUGAGGUGCGAAAGCGUGGGGAGCAAACAGG